Molecule: ribosomal RNA, 253 nt
Filed under: uncultured bacterium
Lineage: Bacteria
Description: partial 16S ribosomal RNA
Rfam family: Bacterial small subunit ribosomal RNA
Source: RNAcentral
GACAGAGGUCCCGAGCGUUAGGCGGAAUCACUGGGCUUAAAGCGUGUGUAGGCGGAUGGGUAAGUACCUUGUGAAAUCCCACGGCUCAACCGUGGAACUGCUUGGUAUACUGCCUGUCUUGAGCCACUUAGGGGCGACCGGAACAGACGGUGGAGCGGUGAAAUGCGUAGAUAUCGUCUGGAACGCCAAUGGUGAAAACAGGUCGCUGGGAGUGUGCUGACGCUGAGACACGAAAGCCAGGGGAGCAAACGGG